GACGAACGCUGGCGGCGUGCUUAACACAUGCAAGUCGAACGGAAAGGCCCUGCUUUUGUGGGGUGCUCGAGUGGCGAACGGGUGAGUAACACGUGAGUAACCUGCCCUUGACUUUGGGAUAACUUCAGGAAACUGGGGCUAAUACCGGAUAGGAGCUCCUGCUGCAUGGUGGGGGUUGGAAAGUUUCGGCGGUUGUGGAUGGACUCGCGGCUUAUCAGCUUGUUGGGGGGGUAGUGGCUUACCAAGGCUUUGACGGGUAGCCGGCCUGAGAGGGUGACCGGCCACAUUGGGACUGCGAUACGGCCCAGACUCCUACGGGAGGCAGCAGUGGGGAAUAUUGCACAGUGGGCGGACGCCUGAUGCAGCAGCGCCGCGUGCGGGAUGACGGCCUUCGGGUUGUAAACCGCUUUCGCCUGUGACGAAGCGUGAGUGACGGUAAUGGGUAAAGAAGCACCGGCUAACUACGUG
This 468-nucleotide ribosomal RNA is filed under the name uncultured bacterium. Its description in RNAcentral is "partial 16S ribosomal RNA". It matches the Rfam family "Bacterial small subunit ribosomal RNA", at positions 28 to 507 of the family's 1533-position model. The record is from RNAcentral.